Molecule: unclassified non-coding RNA, 2897 nt
Filed under: Leishmania donovani
Lineage: Eukaryota; Euglenozoa; Kinetoplastea; Trypanosomatida; Trypanosomatidae
Description: gene:LdHU3.15.0880(CDS-product:hypothetical_prote in_conserved)
Source: RNAcentral
GAAAGGAAGCACUCACGCACGUGAUACACAAACUAAACACACACACACAUAUAUGUGUGUGUAGAAGGAGAGCAAUUUUCAUUUUUUUCUGCUGUGGUCUACAAAAAAAGGGGUGCAAUAAGUAAAAGAAAUCGUAACGUACAAGUGUGCUCCGUUGUCUGUGGUUGUCUGCUGCCCCUCCCUCCUCCUCCCUCUCCCUAUCCCCUCCCGCUCAUCUCUGUUCCUUCUGUGUUUUUAUGAUUUAUCCUCUUCUCCCAUUCUUUCCCUUUUCGUAUUUCUUUUCGCUCCUGUACGAACAGUGAUGCAAGCCACGAACCGCUAUACCAGCAAGUCGCAUGCCACGGCGGCGGCUGGUGGCAGUGAGGACGCGGCCGGUGGCUCAGGUCGCGAUGAUGCGCAGAACACUACGGCCGCCAGCUCGGACUGGAGCGUGAGGCCGUCCGACGACACCGCCGCUGAGCCAACCUCGGUGCAGACAAACAGUCUAUCUCGCCUUAACCCCGCAGCCACUCCGUUCAGUUUCACGGGUGUCGGCGCGGCUGCCGCUGCAGUGGCGGCGUCCGGUGGCGAUAUCACCGGAGGCAGCAGCAUCUCGUCGCCGCACCACCACACAGCCAUGACGUCUGGUGCCGGCAUCGACGGUGGGGUGUCAGGAAUGGCCGGUGGAGGUCGCGGGAUGGGCAGCAUGCUAAACACCAAAACGGCAGCGAGUGGCAUGGACAUUAACAGUCCGAACUCCUAUAGCAUGGUUCAGGCACAGGGAAUGAUGGGGAUGAUGCCGUAUAUGAUGUCCGGCGGCAGUGCCGGUGGUGCCGGCGGUGGCGGCCACGGUGUCAUGGGUAGCGGCCGCAUGGGCACCGGCAGCCCGAACAGCUUCCUCCCUCCUCCCGGCGAGGACACAGAUCAGCAGGAACUGAUGCGGCUGCAGCAGACGAACUACCGCGUCAAGAUGCUGCCGCCACCGUUGACGUACGAGGUGCACCGCAAGAUAUGGUCGAGGAACGAGUACGGCGACGAGGACGACAACGAAGAGGAUGACGUGCACGGCCCCGGCCACGGCGGUGCUGGAGGCAACGUCGAUCAGGAGCACGAGAGCAGCGGUGGGGGCAGCAUUGCCAACGAGGACCCCAUCGAUAAAGAGCAGCGUUUGGAGGCGUACAAGCAGAUCAUGCUGCGCUGGUACAGCCACAUCCACGUCCUGGAAGGGAAGCCUGAGGUGGCGAAGCGCCUUGUGCGCGUGCGCCGGGCCUGCCCGAGUAUGGAGGAGGUGGUAUACAGCCUAACACACCCGCAGCAGCCAGGUGCUGCCCUGGAGACGGAGGCGGGUGGCGAUGAUGAGCCCACCCCGACAGCGGUCCCGCCUACGCUGAUGGCCGCCGCGGCGCGCCGCGGUUCAGAUGGGAUGCCGGACAUGGAGGAGAUCCUUGCUACGUGGUCUUCCCGCUGCUGGAACUGGUGGCAGGAAACCGUGAAGCGCAAGCCACGGCGUGCGCGCAAGCAGGGCGAGCUGCCGAUCGCGGGCGGCAACGGCGCUUCGGGCACGAACAUGCCGACGACGGCGUUGCCGUUGGCCGGCAUGGCCAAUGGCGCCGUGAUGCCGCGCAACCCCUCCUCGCGCAACAUGGACAUGGGAGACUCCGCAGUGCCACCCCCGCCACCGCACUUGACCGGCGGUGGAGGCGGUCCCUACACAUACCCAAGCUCAUACGCGAACCACGACGGCUCCGGGACGGCUGGCGGCAUGCCUGUAGUGCCAUCCUACAAGUCCUUCACCGACCUCUCUGAGGAGGGCAUGGACGGCCCGGCUGCCACGUCGGGGUCACUCAGCCACUACUCACCUCACCAUAACGACGGUGGCUCCCUCGCGCCCUCGCAGGCCCAGCCAUCGCAUCCGGCACUCCCCCAUGACGCCUCCCCGAUGGCGUCGAUGUUCACUGUGAACGGCCCUCGCACCGCAACUCUGCGUGGGACGUCCGAGGAUUUCUUAGAGAAUGACCACCUCACCCUCGCCUUCACCACGGAGCUGCUCAAGUCUCUGGAGGAGUAGUGAGUAGAGACGGAAGCACCUCCAGCAGCGAAGAGCACGCCACCGACGUGUUUCUCAGGCUGAAGGUGAAGUGGGAAUGAGACGUAACGUGUGGCCGCUGGAGUGUAUCGGAGAGGGAGAAGCCAGAAAAGCGUUUGCAACCUCGUGUGAGCGCGCCACGCCUGAUGCCCCCUGUGUGUUUUGUAUGUUUGUAUUUCCACGUACCUACAUGAAAAAAAAAUAAGAAAGAAAACAUUUUUCACCGAUAAAGUAGUAAAGGCAGGUCUUUUUUCCGGUGUAUGCAUGCCUGUGUGCAUGUGCAUGUGUGUGUGUGUGUGUGUGGCUGCGUAUUGCCUUUCUUCUUUGUUGUUGUGUGUAACGCCUCUCCUUCCGUUUAUUUGUUUGUUUCCCGCCUGUUCCGAGACUUCUAUCUCUAAAUGCGAAAGCACCAGACUCCUCCUCCUCCCCCAACCCCACCCAGCUCCACCCACCUCCUUUGUCCUAAGGGGAGAGAGGGACAGCAUCCUCCUCUCUCCCUCCCUCCCUCCCUCUAUCGCAUUCCCUUCCAUAUGCGUAUAGCAGCAGCUCCGAGCUUCUCUUUUCGCUUGUGUGUUUGUGUGUGCGUGUUCGAGUGCACGGAUGACACCGGCGGUGCUUCCAACCAUGAUGCCGCGUAAGGCGUCGGCCAGUGAAAGCGCCUGCUAUCUAUCUAUCUAUAUAGAUAGAACACUUCAACGAAGACACUGUACUUAUCAGACCUUGCUAUGUGAUGUGUGUGUGUGUGUGUGUGUGCAGGUGCCGGUGCCGGAGGUGAGGCGACUACCUUAUCUUUCUCUGUGCGAUGUUGCUGUAGUUCGUAGAUGCUUUGCUG